CAAGUCGAGCGGCGGCGCGGGGGCAACCCUGGCGGCGAGCGGCGAACGGGUGAGUAAUGCAUCGGAACGUGUCCCGUAGUGGGGGAUAACCCGGCGAAAGCCGGACUAAUACCGCAUAUCCUCUACGGAGGAAAGGGGGGGACCCGCAAGGGCCUCUCGCUAUGGGAGCGGCCGAUGUCCGAUUAGCUUGUUGGUGAGGUAAUGGCUUACCAAGGCGACGAUCGGUAGCUGGUCUGAGAGGAUGAUCAGCCACACUGGGACUGAGACACGGCCCAGACUCCUACGGGAGGCAGCAGUGGGGAAUUUUGGACAAUGGGGGCAACCCUGAUCCAGCCAUGCCGCGUGCGGGAAGAAGGCCUUCGGGUUGUAAACCGCUUUUGUCCGGAAAGAAAAGGCCACUCCUAAUACGGGUGGUUCUUGACGGUACCGGAAGAAUAAGCACCGGCUAACUACGUGCCAGCAGCCGCGGUAAUACGUAGGGUGCGAGCGUUAAUCGGAAUUACUGGGCGUAAAGCGUGCGUAGGCGGUCCGCGAAGUCUGAUGUGAAAGCCCCGGGCUCAACCUGGGAACUGCAUUGGAAACUAACGGGCUCGAGUGUGGCAGAGGGGGGUGGAAUUCCACGUGUAGCAGUGAAAUGCGUAGAGAUGUGGAGGAACACCGAUGGCGAAGGCAGCCCCCUGGGCUAACACUGACGCUCAGGCACGAAAGCGUGGGGAGCAAAUAGGAUUAGAUACCCUGGUAGUCCACGCCCUAAACGAUGUCAACUGGGUGUUGGGGAAGCGAUUCCUCAGUACCGUAG
Molecule: ribosomal RNA, 799 nt
Filed under: uncultured beta proteobacterium
Lineage: Bacteria; Pseudomonadati; Pseudomonadota; Betaproteobacteria
Description: bacterial SSU rRNA
Rfam family: Bacterial small subunit ribosomal RNA
Source: RNAcentral